UGAAAUGAUUCGUUUUUAACCAAAUUUACAUAAAUAUGUAAAAACAUUAAAAAUUUUAUUUAUUUUUAUCUUAUUAUGCAUUUAUUUAUUUACAUAACUAUAUGCAUGCAUGUGUAUUUAUUUAUGCAUUUAUUUAUGCAUUUAUUUGUGCAUUUAUUUGUUCAUUUAUUUGUUCAUUUAUUUGUUCAUUUAUUUUUGUGUAAUAAACAUUUUUUAUUAUAAAAAAUUAAAAAAAAAUACUAUGACUUUUAUAAUUGAUAUAUAUAUAUAUGUAUUAAAUUAAAAAUAAUUAAUUUGAUUAUUCAUGCUAUUUUAAAAUAAUAAAAAGUUAUAAUAUCUACUAGAAUAUUAAAGUAAAUAUUAAUAACAUACUUUUUUUUUUUUUUUUUUUUUUUUUUUUUUUUUUUUUUUUUGUGCUUCUACACUUUUAUAACUGUUCAAAUUAAAUAACCAUGAAUGAAAAAAGGUGCAUUUUUAUUAUAUUACCAGAUGUUACCAAUAAUUUUAAAGAUAAAUGUGUUAUAGAAAAAUUAGAAGAAAAAGAGUUUAUUAUUUUAAAAAAAAAGAAAAUAUACUUAACAGGAAACGACAUACUAGAGAUAUUUACUUAUAAACCUGAGCAAUAUGAACAUAUCGAAGAGUUUUAUGAGUAUUUGGAAAGCGGACUGUGUGUAGUUUGUUUAAUAGAGCACCUUGAAGGAGAUACAAUAAAAAAAUUAAACCUUUUAAUUAAGAGUACUUCUAUGUUUAUAAAGGAUGAAAAAUACUUUGAUUGCUUAGAGUACCAAUGUAAUUUAAGAUGUAAAAAUAUUCCUUUUUAUUUUAGCAAAAAUUGUUGGUAUUUCUGUAGAGACUUAAAUUAUUUUUUCCCACCACAUAAUAAAAAUAAUAUAGAAAGAAGUUUAAUAAUAUUAAAACCUGAUGCUAUAGAAAAUAAUAAAAUAAAUGAUAUUAUUAACGACAUAUUGAAUUUUAAUUUGUUAGUGGUUGCUAUAAAAAGAGGUGUGUUGUCUAAUGAGCGUGCCAGUAAAUUGUAUGAAGACUUGAAACAUAAGCCUUACUACCACACUUUGAUAGACUUUAUGACAUCUAAAGUAGGGAUAGUCUGUCUGUUAAUAGAAGGCAUAAACUGCAUUGACCGAGUAAAAAUUUUAUGCGGUCCAUCCUUAUCUAUGGUUAGCUUCAAGGACAUGCCUAAAAGAUGUUUAAAAAAAAAAUACGGAACCAGCGAAAUGCGUAAUGCUGUGCAUGUUCCGAGUGAUGAAAAAAUAGACUAUGAAAUAGAACUAUUUUUUAGAGAGGAAGAUAUGAAUAGUGAAAUUGGUAUUUUAUUAAUAAAAAAAAGUAUAGUAAAUCCAGAUGCUUUAUUUCAGUUAAGAGAUUAUUUUAAUAUGUACGGUUUUAAAAUAUUAGAAGAAAAAGUUAUAAAUAUGGAUAACUCGAUGUUAAUGUAUUUAAUUAGUGAAAAUAAGAGCAAAAUUAAUGAACAAAUUAAUGAACAAGUUUGUAGAACAUUGAAGGGUAACAUUGAAAAGUUUGUCAUAAUUUUAGUUCACAGAAUAAAUUGUCUUACAUGCUUAGAAUACUUAAUUGAUUUAAAAAGUGUUAGAGAAUAUAAAAUAAAAAGUCCGAAUUGUAUUUUAAGUAUGUUUAUGUGUUGUAGUUACCAAUUAGGUAAUCGCCACAUAGAUAUUCCUAAUGGUAGUAAACAGAAUUAUAAAAACAUUGGAAAUGAUUAUUAUUAUAAUAGUAACGAAAAUAAUGUAAGUAAUAAAAAUAUAAUUUUUGUGAAAGAUAAAGAUAAAAUAAUAGAAUUAAUAAAACGUUAUUUUAAUUUUGCAAAGUAUAAUGAUACACUUACAGUAGAUAUGAUUCGUGAUUUUUUUUUUUGUAAAAACGUUAAAACUUUUGAAAAAAAAGAAAAAAAUAUAAAAUUAAAUGAUGUAUUACUGGAAUGUUUUACUGAGAUUUGUAAAAAAAAACCAGAUGAAUAUAAUGCGAUAUUUUGGUUAUAUAAUUGGCUGAAACAAAAAGAAAAAGCGAUUAAAAGCGAUAUACAGGUAAAAAAGACAUUUAAACAAAAAGCGAAUGAAAUUGUUAUAUUAGGUCAAAAAAAUAAAGAAGAAAUUGGAAAUGGAGAAUAUUUAAAUAAGGAUAAUUUAAAAGAGGGGGAUAGUAUGGAUGAAAAUAACAAUACAGAUAAGGAUAGCAGUGACAGUAGUAUAAAAAAAAAAGACAAAAACGAAUUUAAUGAACUGGACACACACAACGAUAAAAUAAAUUCUAGUGUGAACAAUAUGAAAAAUGUAAUAAAAAAAAAAAAUGCAAUAAAAGUAAGUAAUGAAAAUUUGAUGUUAAAAAGGAAAAAUAUUAUUUUAAUUCCAGAUAAUAUAUAUACUGAUCCAGAUAAAAAUAAAGAAGACGAAAAAAGUAUUUUUCUAAAUGUAAUAAAUUUUUUUGAAAAAAUGCAGUAUACUAAUAUAAGUUUUUAUGAGAUCUGUAAAAGAGAAAAAAAAAAAAAUUCUAUGCUUGGUAAAAAAAUAGAAUAUACUAAAAAAAAAUAUAAACAGUUGAGUGUUGAUUUGAUAGAACGUAUUUUAAAAGAAAAUUUAUUAUGUUAUGAUAAAAAAAAAAAAAAAAAUAAUAAUAAUAAUAAUAAUAAUAAUGAUAAUGAUAAUAAUAAUAAUUACAUUAUAACAGGUUUUAAAAAUUUAGUUAGUUAUUUGUAUAUAACAAAUGAAAAAAUAAUACCUAGUUCAUUUUGUUUAUUAUUUUAUCGAGAGGAAGAAAAAAAAAAAAAGAUAGUACAACUUGAAGAUAGAUACAGUUUGUUUUUAUCAUUAUUACAAGAAAGUGAUACGUGCAUUAAUAGUUCCACUAAUGGUUAUACUGGUAAUACAACUUGUGAUGCAAAUAACAUAAAACCCACUAUUACAACCAACGUUACACCCAACGUUACACCCAACGUUAGUGGGAACAUAAAAAUUAUUAAUGAGUUUUUAAAUAAGGGUAAAAUUUUAAUAUAUAGAAAUAAAAAAAACUAUUUUAAAAAUUUUAUUACAAAAUUUUAUAAUGAAAUAAUAAUUUUUUUUUUUGGAAUAAAAACAUCUUAUUUGAACACAUUUUUUGACUUUUAUAUAUAUAAUUAUAAUUAUUAUUUAAUAGAUUUUAUACAAUUGUGUAAUGAAGAAAUAGAUAAAAUGAAAGAAAAUGUCGUUGAUAGGAGUCCCGAUGAAGGUUUAUGUAUCACAUCGUUAGAUCGUUCUGCUGUUACAAUUACAUCAACCAAUAGUAAUAAUAAUACUACUACUUUGUUUCCAAAACCAACUCAAUUUAUUUUUGUUCUUAUAGAAAAAAUAAAAAAUUUAAUAAAUAAAUGCCAUAAUAGAUUUAUAAUAUAUAAUUUCCCAUGUAGUAUGGAACAAGUUGAAUUAUUAAAACAAGAAGGUAUAAAUUUAAAAGUGGAAGGGUUUUACUUUAAUUAUUAUUACGACAAUAGUACGGAUUUAAAAAAAAGUGUAACAAAAAGAGAAAUAAUAAUGAGUGAUUAUACUCAUAGAAAAAUGAGUCGGGGUAAUAUUAGUAGGAAUAGUCUAAUAUUAGAAUUAAAAACUGAUCAAAAUAUUAUAAAAAAUCAAAUGAGUGUCUUUUCUCCUGUAUGUAUAAGUAAAAUGAUAAAUAAUAAAAACUUUUCUAUAUUUAAUAUUAAAGAAAAAAAAGGUAUAAAAACAUUAACAACAUUAAAUAAUUAUAUAUAUGAUAUAUUAAAAAUAAAAAAAAAAAAAGUUAUUUUUAUUUUGAAUAUGACUAAAAUUAAUGAUAGUUUUAUUAGUUUUUAUUUGCAAUAUGAGUAUCCAGACAUGGUAUUUUGUAACUUGGACAGUUUUGAAGAGAGUAGUUAUUCCGGUAUCGUCUUCAUGGAAAGGUGUUUACUAUAUGAGACAAUUAAUGACAUUUUUUAUGGUAGUGGCAGUAACAGUGGUAAUGGUAACAGUAACAGUGGUAAUGGCAAUAAAAAAGACAACAUAGAUAUUAUAUUAAAAAAAAUGCUUACCUUUUGUUCGCAAAUAAAUAGUGGUUAUUACGUGUUUUCAGGAAUACCUAAAAACUUAGUUAUAGAAGAUUUUCAAAAAAUUAGUUUUUAUUUUGAUAUAAAAUUGUGUAUACUUUUAGUUAAAAAUAAUAGUUAUAAUAUUAAUGAAUUUUUGGCUAUAAAUAUAGAUCAAUAUAUUUUUGCCUCUUGUUUUUUUUAUUUUCAAAGUUGUGGUAAGUUGUUGAUGGUAGGAGUUAAUGAAGGGUUAGAAGCGAAUGAGUUGAUACACCCAUCUGAUUUGGUUAAUCCAGAAUAUUUGAUAAAAUUAAAUGUUGAAAAAGGUACUAACAAUAUUAAAAACAAAAAAAAUGAAAAACAAGAAGAAACUAAUAAAACAAAUGAUUCGAUUGAUAAUAGAAAAAAAAAAAGAAUACUAAAAAUAAUAACAGAAAAAAUUAAACCUAAAUUAAUUUACUAUUAUUUCUCAGAUGAUUAUAAUUUAGAAAAAUUUGUGCAAAACGAAAAAAAUAAAAAAAAUGGUACUGUUACAGAUAUUGUCACGAAUGCUAAUAAUAUUGAUACAGUCAGUAGUAACAAUAAUAAUGGAGUUUUUAAAUAUUUAUUUUAUCAAGACGUGUUAGAAAAGUAUAUUUUAUUAACCCAAAAACGAUCAGAAAAAUUUAUAAAUAACUUAAUAAAUCAAAUAAAAAACCAAAAAAAUGGUAAUAAAAUAAAAAACCAAAAGAAUAGUAAUAAAAUAAAAAAGAAAAUAUAUUUUACAUACUUAAAAGAUGUAGUACUACAUUCAAGUGAUUACUUAUUUACAAAUGUUGUUUUGGAUAAUAUACUAAAUGAUUGUGAAGAUAGUGAGAAGGAAGAGGAGGAGAAGGAGGAGAAGGAGGAGAAGGAGGAGAAGGAGGAGAAGGAGAAAGAGGAGAAAGAGGAGAAGGAGAAGAAAGAGGAGAAGGAGAAGAAGAAGGAGAAGGAGGAGAAGAAGGAGAAGGAGGAGAAGGAGGAGAAGGAGAAGAAGGAGGAGAAGGAGAAGAAGGAGGAGAAGGAGGAGAAGGAGGAGAAGGAGGAGAAGGAGAAGGAGGAGAAAGAGGAGAAAGAGGAGAAGGAGGAGAAGGAGGAUGGUGGUAUGGUAAAAACUGUAGAUAAUAGUGAGAUAAUAAAUAAACGUACUAGUAACAUCACUCAAGAUGAUACCACUAUCUUUUCUAACUUACUCGAGUUCAAAAAACUGGUUCAAUUUAUUUAUUAUACAAAAUCGGAAUAUUUAGAAUUACAAAAAAAUAAAGAUAUAUUAGACAGUUGUAUUUUGAAUGAUAAUAAAAUAUUUCAUAUGAACAGAAUGAUGAUAGGUGGUAAUAAAUCUGAAAUAAAUAAUGAAUCGAUGAAAAAUAAAAAUAAUGAUGGAUAUAUAUUGAUAAAUGAUAAAAUAAAUUCAAUGGAAAAAUUAGGCGAUGGUGGUACAGAGAAUGAGGAAGGAGCAUUAGGAGAAAGAGAUACAGGAAGCAACCAUCAUGGAUCUGAUAGUAACAGCAGGUCUGAUAGUCAUAGCAGGUCUGAUAGUAACAGUAAGUCUGAUAGUAACAGUAAGUCUGAUAGUAACAGUAGGUCUGAUAGUAACAGUAGGUCUGAUAGUAACAGUAGGUCUGAUAGUUAUACCACAUCCAGUAAUAACAGUUCGAGUAAAAAAAAAAAGGGUAAUAAAAAAAAAAAAAAAAAUUCCAACACAGAUAAAAAAGAAAAUAUGUUACAAAACAAUAAUGAAAGUGAUGAUAAUAACGAAAAUGAAAUGUUAGAAUAUAAUGAAAAGGCAAAAAAGAUAAAAGAGUGUUUAUUAAAAAAAUAUGAAAAUAUGGAAUAUACUGGUAUAUAUAUAAAUAAAACAAUGCCAUAUAGUUGUGAAAAUUUAUAUUUCCCUAAGUUAGUAAUUUUAUUAGUACCAUAUAACGAGCGUUUACAAUUUUAUAUAUCAUCGCUGUUAUGCUUAUACUUUAAAAAUUUUAUGUCAUAUAAUACCGUUAGCUUAAUGAAAGAAGAAAUAAUAAAAAAAAAAAUAAGUAAUAUGUAUUUUUAUAAAAACAAAAAAGAAAAUGCAUUUAGUUUUUCACAUAAAAAUGCUAAUUAUAAUCACAAUAAUACUAUUAAUGAAAAAAAAUUGUUAAAAAAUGCUUUUCAAAGUUUUAUUAAAAAAAUGAAAAGUGUGGAUAAGAAUAUAUUAUUGACUGGAUUUCCAAUUGUUAAAAAUAGAUAUAAAAAUAGUAUUUAUUUUUAUCAAUUUAAUUUUUUAAGAACGUUUAAAAUAAACGGUAUUAUUUGUCUACAAUUUGAUGAACAAUAUUUACAAACCCUCACUAACUUUACUAACAUUACUAAUAACAUAAGUGAACAAAAGUAUAAAGAAAUCACAGACAUUAUAAAAAAACAGUACAGUUACACGCAUAAGUUGUAUUUUGGAAGAGUAGCGGAGAAAAACGAUUUAUUACGAGUUCUUAAGGAUAUAUAUAACUUUUUUGAUUUUUAAGUUUGUACGAGCGGAUGAGGAAGUGUAUCAAACACAUAUGAGCAAAAAUAACAUAAUGGGCUUUUAAUAGAAGCAAAAAAUGUUUUAAACACCAAAAAAAAAUUAAAACAAACAUGUGCAUAUAUUAUAUACAUAUUAUAUAUAUAAUAUAUAACAUAUAAUACGUAAUAUAUAAUACGUAAUAUAUAUAUAUAUAUUUUUUUUUUUUUUUUUUUGUAUAAUUUACCGACUGGUACUCUUUUUCGGAACACACACGAACAUGCUCUACUUGAGCACUUGUCAAAAAGACGCAUACACAUAAAAAUGUUAAAAAUGUUAAACGUGUUAAACGUUCUAAAUGUAUAUUUUUCUUUUGUUAUUAUACAGUGUUGUGCUGUAGUACACUAUACCAUACUAUACUAAGCUAUAGUAAGGUAUACUUUUUUUUUUUUUUUUUUUUUUUUUUUUUUUUUUUUUUUUUUUUUUCUCCGUUUUUCCCCUUUGCUUUUCUUUUUAGUUUUGCAUUAACAAGAAAUGCAUAAGUGUUUUACCAAAUAAAAUGAUUUUAUUCCCCUCCA
Long non-coding RNA from Piliocolobus tephrosceles (Ugandan red Colobus), 7120 nucleotides. Lineage: Eukaryota; Metazoa; Chordata; Mammalia; Primates; Cercopithecidae. The record is from Ensembl.